This 443-nucleotide ribosomal RNA is filed under the name uncultured bacterium. Its description in RNAcentral is "partial 16S ribosomal RNA". It matches the Rfam family "Bacterial small subunit ribosomal RNA", at positions 338 to 795 of the family's 1533-position model. The record is from RNAcentral.
CCUACGGGAGGCAGCAGUGGGGAAUAUUGGGCAAUGGGCGCAAGCCUGACCCAGCAACGCCGCGUGAAGGAAGAAGGCUUUCGGGUUGUAAACUUCUUUUCUCAGGGACGAAGCAAGUGACGGUACCUGAGGAAUAAGCCACGGCUAACUACGUGCCAGCAGCCGCGGUAAUACGGAGGUGGCAAGCGUUAUCCGGAUUUACUGGGUGUAAAGGGCGGGUAGGCGGAACUGCAAGUCAGAUGUGAAAACUUCGGGCUCAACCUGUAGUCUGCAUUUGAAACUGUAGUUCUUGUGUACUGGAGAGGCAGACGGAAUGCCUAGUGUAGCGGUGAAAUGCGUAGAUAUUAGGAGGAACACCAGUGGCGAAGGCGGUCUGCUGGACAGCAACUGACGCUGAGGCGCGAAAGCGUGGGGAGCAAACAGGAUUAGAUACCCGUGUAGUC